ACUCCUACGGGAGGCAGCAGUGGGGAAUAUUGCACAAUGGGCGGCAAGCCUGAUGCAGCCAUGCCGCGUGUAUGAAGAAGGCCUUCGGGUUGUAAAGUACUUUCAGUCGUGAGGAAGGCGGCGUCGUAAUAGCGGCGUUGUUUGACGUUAGCGACAGAAGAAGCACCGGCUAACUCCGUGCCAGCAGCCGCGGUAAUACGGAGGGUGCGAGCGUUAAUCGGAAUUACUGGGCGUAAAGCGCAUGCAGGUGGUUUGUUAAGUCAGAUGUGAAAGCCCGGGGCUCAACCUCGGAAUUGCAUUUGAAACUGGCAGACUAGAGUACUGGUAGAGGGGGUUAGAAUUUCAGGUGUAGCGGUGAAAUGCGUAGAGAUCUGAAGGAAUACCGGUGGCGAAGGCGGCCCCUGGACAGAUACUGACACUCAGAUGCGAAAGCGUGGGAGCAAACAGGAUUAGAUACCCCGUGGUAGGACAGUG
Molecule: ribosomal RNA, 474 nt
Filed under: uncultured bacterium
Lineage: Bacteria
Description: bacterial SSU rRNA
Rfam family: Bacterial small subunit ribosomal RNA
Source: RNAcentral